AACGCACAUUGCGCUCUCUGGUAUUCCGGAGAGCAUGCUUGUUUGAGUAUCAGUAAAACACCCUCAGCCUUUUCUUUAUUGAAAGGGCUGGACUUGAGUGAUCCCAACGGUUUUUUUUUAAAGGCUGGCGGGUUGCUUGAAAUGCAGGUGCGGCUGGACACAUCUUCUGAGCUAUAAGCAUUACCUAUUUAGUCCCGUCAAACGGAUUAUUUCUAUUGCUACAGCUAAUAUAAAGGUUGAUUGUCCUGUGCCCGACUGAUGCAGGAAAACAUGGAGAAAUCCUUGUUCAACUCGAUCUCAAAUCAAGUAAGACUACCCGCUGAACUUAA
Molecule: unclassified non-coding RNA, 329 nt
Filed under: uncultured fungus
Lineage: Eukaryota; Fungi
Description: sequence contains ITS2
Source: RNAcentral